Molecule: ribosomal RNA, 468 nt
Filed under: uncultured bacterium
Lineage: Bacteria
Description: partial 16S ribosomal RNA
Rfam family: Bacterial small subunit ribosomal RNA
Source: RNAcentral
GACGAACGCUGGCGGCGUGCUUAACGCAUGCAAGUCGAACGGAAAGGCCCUGCUUUUGUGGGGUGCUCGAGUGGCGAACGGGUGAGUAACACGUGAGUAACCUGCCCUUGACUUUGGGAUAACUUCAGGAAACUGGGGCUAAUACCGGAUAGGAGCUCCUGCUGCAUGGUGGGGGUUGGAAAGUUUCGGCGGUUGGGGAUGGACUCGCGGCUUAUCAGCUUGUUGGUGGGGUAGUGGCUUACCAAGGCUUUGACGGGUAGCCGGCCUGAGAGGGUGUCCGGCCACAUUGGGACUGAGAUACGGCCCAGACUCCUACGGGAGGCAGCAGUGGGGAAUAUUGCACAAUGGGCGGAAGCCUGAUGCAGCAACGCCGCGUGCGGGAUGACGGCCUUCGGGUUGUAAACCGCUUUCGCCUGUGACGAAGCGUGAGUGACGGUAAUGGGUAAAGAAGCACCGGCUAACUACGUG